CUUUAUUUAUGUCUCUCUCGCUCAGUUCUCUCUAGUCUUCUCCGUCACCACUCUCUCUUCUAACCUCCGCUGCUGUAGGCAGCGACACUGGUCGGCGGCACCAAAUCGCUGGAGAAGAAGGUAUGCGAUUUGGUCUGAUUUGCGAUUUGAUAGAGGGGGUGAAGAACGACCGUCGAGUCGCCGGCGGCAGACUGGGGAAGAGAUUAAGUGAGAAGAAUAAUGUUUCCCACACUUAAUUAACUCUUUAAUUUUGGUGGACCACACAUAAUUAAAACAUAACAAUCCUCUUCUUAAUCUCUGUGUCAAAAAGAAAAUGGCCACAUUUAUUGGGACGAAGUGAUUAAAUUUCUACGUUGGGUUGAAUGUCAUAUAUCAUAAGUUUCAGAAUUUUAGCCUUUCGAAACUAAUCUUUAUUAUUUUAUAACGAAUAUGAACUUCGAAUUGUAGAGUUGUUAGCAAUAACAAAGAAUUGUUUUAAGUCUA
This is a long non-coding RNA of Salvia miltiorrhiza (redroot sage), 483 nucleotides long. RefSeq lists it as uncharacterized. NCBI's taxonomy places the organism in Eukaryota, Viridiplantae, Streptophyta, Magnoliopsida, Lamiales, Lamiaceae. The record is from RefSeq and is a predicted model, not a curated record. The transcript is spliced from 2 exons.